RNAcentral lists this ribosomal RNA (468 nucleotides) under uncultured bacterium. RNAcentral's name for it is "partial 16S ribosomal RNA". It matches the Rfam family "Bacterial small subunit ribosomal RNA", at positions 28 to 507 of the family's 1533-position model. The record is from RNAcentral.
GACGAACGCUGGCGGCGUGCUUAACACAUGCAAGUCGAACGGAAAGGCCCUGCUUUUGUGGGGUGCUCGAGUGGCGAACGGGUGAGUAACACGUGAGUAACCUGCCCUUGACUGUGGGAUAACUUCAGGAAACUGGGGCUAAUACCGGAUAGGAGCUCCUGCUGCAUGGUGGGGGUUGGAAAGUUUCGGCGGUUGGGGAUGGACUCGCGGCUUAUCCGCUUGUUGGUGGGGUAGUGGCUUACCAAGGCUUUGACGGGUAGCCGGCCUGAGAGGGUGACCGGCCACAUUGGGACUGAGAUACGGCCCAGACUCCUACGGGAGGCAGCAGUGGGGAAUAUUGCACAAUGGGCGGAAGCCUGAUGCAGCAACGCCGCGUGCGGGAUGACGGCCUUCGGGUUGUAAACCGCUUUCGCCUGUGACGAAGCGUGAGUGACGGUAAUGGGUAAAGAAGCACCGGCUAACUACGUG